Molecule: ribosomal RNA, 455 nt
Filed under: uncultured bacterium
Lineage: Bacteria
Description: bacterial SSU rRNA
Rfam family: Bacterial small subunit ribosomal RNA
Source: RNAcentral
UACGGGAGGCAGCAGUGGGGAAUAUUGCACAAUGGGCGCAAGCCUGAUGCAGCCAUGCCGCGUGUAUGAAGAAGGCCUUCGGGUUGUAAAGUACUUUCAGUCGUGAGGAAGGUGUUAAGGUUAAUAACCUUAGCAAUUGACGUUAGCGACAGAAGAAGCACCGGCUAACUCCGUGCCAGCAGCCGCGGUAAUACGGAGGGUGCGAGCGUUAAUCGGAAUUACUGGGCGUAAAGGGCACGCAGGCGGUUAAUUAAGUUGGAUGUGAAAUCCCCGGGCUUAACCUGGGAAUGGCAUUCAAGACUGGUUAGCUAGAGUCUUGUAGAGGGGGUAGAAUUCCAUGUGUAGCGGUGAAAUGCGUAGAGAUGUGGAGGAAUACCGGUGGCGAAGGCGGCCCCUGGACAAAGACUGACGCUCAUGUGCGAAAGCGUGGGGAGCGAAACAGGGAUUUAGAUACC